GAGACCUCAGGUCAGGCGGGAUUACCC
Molecule: ribosomal RNA, 27 nt
Filed under: Goodia lotifolia
Lineage: Eukaryota; Viridiplantae; Streptophyta; Magnoliopsida; Fabales; Fabaceae
Description: partial 26S ribosomal RNA
Source: RNAcentral